GAUGAACGCUGGCGGCGUGCCUAAUACAUGCAAGUCGAGCGAACGGACGAGAAGCUUGCUUCUCUGAUGUUAGCGGCGGACGGGUGAGUAACACGUGGAUAACCUACCUAUAAGACUGGGAUAACUUCGGGAAACCGUAGCUAAUACCGGAUAAUAUUUUGAACCGCAUGGUUCAAAAGUGAAAGACGGUCUUGCUGUCACUUAUAGAUGGAUCCGCGCUGCAUUAGCUAGUUGGUAAGGUAACGGCUUACCAAGGCAACGAUGCAUAGCCGACCUGAGAGGGUGAUCGGCCACACUGGAACUGAGACACGGUCCAGACUCCUACGGGAGGCAGCAGUAGGGAAUCUUCCGCAAUGGGCGAAAGCCUGACGGAGCAACGCCGCGUGAGUGAUGAAGGUCUUCGGAUCGUAAAACUCUGUUAUUAGGGAAGAACAUAUGUGUAAGUAACUGUGCACAUCUUGACGGUACCUAAUCAGAAAGCCACGGCUAACUACGUGCCAGCAGCCGCGGUAAUACGUAGGUGGCAAGCGUUAUCCGGAAUUAUUGGGCGUAAAGCGCGCGUAGGCCGGUUUUUUAGUCUGAUGUGAAAGCCCACGGCUCAACCGUGGAGGGUCAUUGGAAACUGGAAAACUUGAGUGCAGAAGAGGAAAGUGGAAUUCCAUGUGUAGCGGUGAAAUGCGCAGAGAUAUGGAGGAACACCAGUGGCGAAGGCGACUUUCUGGUCUGUAACUGACGCUGAUGUGCGAAAGCGUGGGGAUCAAACAGGAUUAGAUACCCUGGUAGUCCACGCCGUAAACGAUGAGUGCUAAGUGUUAGGGGGUUUCCGCCCCUUAGUGCUGCAGCUAACGCAUUAAGCACUCCGCCUGGGGAGUACGACCGCAAGGUUGAAACUCAAAGGAAUUGACGGGGACCCGCACAAGCGGUGGAGCAUGUGGUUUAAUUCGAAGCAACGCGAAGAACCUUACCAAAUCUUGACAUCCUUUGACAACUCUAGAGAUAGAGCCUUCCCCUUCGGGGGACAAAGUGACAGGUGGUGCAUGGUUGUCGUCAGCUCGUGUCGUGAGAUGUUGGGUUAAGUCCCGCAACGAGCGCAACCCUUAAGCUUAGUUGCCAUCAUUAAGUUGGGCACUCUAAGUUGACUGCCGGUGACAAACCGGAGGAAGGUGGGGAUGACGUCAAAUCAUCAUGCCCCUUAUGAUUUGGGCUACACACGUGCUACAAUGGACAAUACAAAGGGCAGCGAAACCGCGAGGUCAAGCAAAUCCCAUAAAGUUGUUCUCAGUUCGGAUUGUAGUCUGCAACUCGACUACAUGAAGCUGGAAUCGCUAGUAAUCGUAGAUCAGCAUGCUACGGUGAAUACGUUCCCGGGUCU
This 1372-nucleotide ribosomal RNA is filed under the name uncultured bacterium. Its description in RNAcentral is "bacterial SSU rRNA". It matches the Rfam family "Bacterial small subunit ribosomal RNA", at positions 28 to 1381 of the family's 1533-position model. The record is from RNAcentral.